UGGAGAAUCUCUGAGCACCAUGGAGCCAGC
This 30-nucleotide non-coding RNA is filed under the name Mus musculus (house mouse). Lineage: Eukaryota; Metazoa; Chordata; Mammalia; Rodentia; Muridae. The record is from RNAcentral.